GAAUGGGGCCAACCCUAUUUGCAUUAUUUAAUUACCAUUCCUCCUGUCUGAUCUCGGAAGCUAAGCAGAGUCGGGCCUGGUUAGUACUUGAAUGGACGACCACCUAGGAAGACCAGGUGCUGUAGGCG
Pteropus alecto (black flying fox) is the source of this 128-nucleotide non-coding RNA. The record is from Rfam. NCBI's taxonomy places the organism in Eukaryota, Metazoa, Chordata, Mammalia, Chiroptera, Pteropodidae.